This 108-nucleotide ribosomal RNA is filed under the name Enterobacter hormaechei subsp. hoffmannii. The record is from RNAcentral. Lineage: Bacteria; Pseudomonadati; Pseudomonadota; Gammaproteobacteria; Enterobacterales; Enterobacteriaceae.
UCUGGCGGCUUUAGCGCGGUGGUCCCACCUGACCCCAUGCCGAACUCAGAAGUGAAACGCCGUAGCGCCGAUGGUAGUGGGGUGGAGCAGCCUGGUAGCUCGUCGGGC